This 72-nucleotide transfer RNA is filed under the name Nelumbo nucifera (sacred lotus). It matches the Rfam family "tRNA". From Rfam's summary of the family: Transfer RNA (tRNA) molecules are approximately 80 nucleotides in length. Their secondary structure includes four short double-helical elements and three loops (D, anti-codon, and T loops). Further hydrogen bonds mediate the characteristic L-shaped molecular structure. tRNAs have two regions of fundamental functional importance: the anti-codon, which is responsible for specific mRNA codon recognition, and the 3' end, to which the tRNAs corresponding amino acid is attached (by aminoacyl-tRNA synthetases). tRNAs cope with the degeneracy of the genetic code in two manners: having more than one tRNA (with a specific anti-codon) for a particular amino acid; and 'wobble' base-pairing, i.e. permitting non-standard base-pairing at the 3rd anti-codon position. The record is from Rfam by way of RNAcentral. Lineage: Eukaryota; Viridiplantae; Streptophyta; Magnoliopsida; Proteales; Nelumbonaceae.
GGAUUCAUGGCGCAAUGGUAGCACAUCUGACUCCAAAUCAAAAGGUUGCGUGUUCCAUUCACAAUGGGUUCA